CCUACGGGCGGCUGCAGUGAGGAAUAUUGGUCAAUGGCCGAAAGGCUGAACCAGCCAAGUCGCGUGAGGGAAGACGGCCCUACGGGUUGUAAACCUCUUUUGUCGGGGAGCAAAACGGACCACGUGUGGUUCAUUGAGAGUACCCUAAGAAAAAGCAUCGGCUAACUCCGUGCCAGCAGCCGCGGUAAUACGGAGGAUGCGAGCGUUAUCCGGAUUGAUUGGGUUUAAAGGGUGCGCAGGCGGUACUUUAAGCCAGCGGUAAAAUGGCGGGGCUCAACCCUGCCGAGCCGUCGGAACUGGGGGCCUUGAGUGCGGAGGAGGCAUGCGGAAUGCGCGGUGUAGCGGUGAAAUGCUUAGAUAUCGCGCAGAACCCCGAUUGCGAAGGCAGCGUGCCGUGCCGCUACUGACGCUGAGGCACGAAAGCGUGGGGAUCGAACAGGAUUAGAUACCCUUGUAGUC
RNAcentral lists this ribosomal RNA (459 nucleotides) under uncultured bacterium. RNAcentral's name for it is "partial 16S ribosomal RNA". It matches the Rfam family "Bacterial small subunit ribosomal RNA", at positions 338 to 795 of the family's 1533-position model. The record is from RNAcentral.